CACGGGGCGGGGAAGGGGGGAGCGGCGGGAGGGAGCGGGCACGGAGCGGACUCGGUCUGCAGGCAGGGCAGGCAAGGGAGAGGCGCCUGCAAAACCCGGACCGGAUCGCCCUCCCCUGGCAAGGGAAAAGGCGAGAAAGUGUCCCUAUUUCCCAUCCCGCGUGGGCAGCUGCCUGUCCCCUACCGCGUCCCUGCACGAGCGGUUGCUCUUCCCCAUCCAUUCUCCUUCCCAGAGAACUACUGUAAGUUUUAUAAAAUUUUCUAUUUUGCAGCCUGCUGACCCCUGCUCACGUUAGUUCCCUGAGACUAAACUGCGUAGAGAUGAYGAAUAGCUAGGUUGUGCGUACUGAUUCUCCAGCUGAUUUUCCUAGGCAUGGUGUUCAGUUGCUAUUUUACAAACUUCUAGACUUCAAUACUUUUCUUUUGCUAAUGUUCUUUGUCUGGAUUCCACACAAGUUUAGAACUAACCAUUGUCUCGUAUCUAGAACUGUAGUAUUUUCGCUUUGCUGGCAGUUACACACAGAAAAUGCCACAGAACAGGCAUGCAAGCCAUGAGCAAGCCUUGUAGACUGGGCUAGUUUUGCAGGAUGUCCUUGCAGGAUCAGAGACAAGAGUUUGCAUGACACCUGAAUUUCCAACAGGCAGGCAUCACAUUUCUGUGUUAAACUACUUUCCCCAGCUCUACCUUUUCUUUCUCAGCUCUACUUUCAUUUCACUGAGACAGUGAGUAUAGAUUACAGUUGCAUGUGCACAUUUUGUGGUGGUGAUUCCAUAGAACCAUCCUCGGAAACGUCUUCCUUCAUCCCCUGGUUCCCUCUAGAGGAGCCAAGAGCCGGGGCUCAGUGGCACCAUUCAGCACUGGGGUUUGGAGGUACAGCUGCCUGCCUGCCCAGGCACUAGGUCUGUGGGAUGGCUCUGCCUCCAUUGUAGGGCUUGCAGGAUUUGGGCCCGAGGUCAAAGCUGUAGACUCUUGGAUAAUUUUUGUCAUUGGCAGCAGGGAGCUCCACGUCAGCACACCCACAAAGAAGCCCUUGCAGGAGCAUCUUGCGCUUCCCAUGCGCUUCCCUGUCUGUGUCUGUCUCCACCUGUUGCCUCUUGUCCAGUGCUUACACCAUCAGCUCUUUGGGGCAGAAACCAUGGUUUUGCUCUGGAUUUGUCAGUGCUUUGCACAAUGUGGUCCAGGUCCAUAACCACACCUCCUAUGCACUAUUGCUACACGCAUAAGUAAUAACAAUAAUUAAUAAUAAUAGGCUAAUUCCUCUGAUUUUGAUGUGACUACUCAUGUGAGUAAAACUGACUCACAGACAUGAGUAUUUGUGGGACCACUGCCAGCUCUUGAGGUUUUAUUGUGAGUCUUCCAGUAUUUGGUGCUCUCUUUUGAUCCCCAGCUCCUGGAAUGACUUGUUUCUAGCACUUGCGUUUACACAAGGAAGCUUGGAAAUGUGGCCUAGUGCUCAAAAAAAACCUCAGAAGCCAGGGAACAAAUAAGAAACUUCCAAAGAAAUGCGUUUUUAAUGGCUUUUGCAAAAAUCCUGUGAUUUGGCAGCUCAGGGAGGAGUGGAGUCUGACUCAUGAAUUUUGAGCAGACAAGUUUAGCAAUAUGCAUCAAUUGAGUUAAAUAUUUAGGACCCUGUAAAGACUAGGCUUCUGCUAACCAAGCCAAACUUACAGUGCAGAGAUAUAUUUUGUGGAAAUAGUGUUUAAAGUGCCUGUGUCAUUGCAGAAUCUGAAUUUUUGUAUAUAUGCAUAUUGUUUGUGAUUUGUCAUUUUGUAGUUAUUUAUUUUUACCUGUUUACAGUAAGAAAACAGUAAAAUAGGCAUGAAAAUGGGAUUGUUAAAGUAAAUAGGACUGUGUGAGUGUUCUAAUAGUUGUAGCAAGUAUUUAUAAAUUGCUGAAAAUACAACUCCCAAACUUUUUGAAUUUGUAUGCUGGAGAGACACUGCAGGUUAAAACCCAUGUGUUUUGAAAGUAUAUGUCCCAAAUUCUGGUACAAAAGUGAAAGAGAGCUGGUUCCAAGCUAGGAAUUCUUGCUUAUGAGGCAUCCCUGAAGAAUGAAGGGUUGGGAGAAUAAGGCCCUUUAAUUAAACCUGCUGUAAAUAGUUACUUUUAAUUGCAUUUACUUAUUAUUUUCUCUUGUUCACGUUUUUGCAUUUCUCUCAUCUGGGGUGUUGAACACAGACUGAAUGGUCUUCCUUCUGCUUGGAAGUUUUCUAAUUUAGAGGUGCUGUGGAGCUGGCCUAAUUUGGAGGAGCACUUGGGCGCAGCUAAGUGUUUUUGAGGUGGUCAUGUUUAUCACCACAGUUGUCUCCUGCCUGUGCCCCCUUGCAUGUCGUGGCAGGUUUGGACACUCUAUGAGCUGUGACAGCUUUGGGUCCCCUUCCUGASCACCUGAUGCUCAUGACACGAGACCCAGAGAGCGCAGCUCCUCAGCCAGAUAGAACAGGAGGUAAUGACACCUUACACCGCCCGUUCUAGAUAGAAAGAAAAUAAUUCAGCAAAUUGCAAAUGAUGCACACUUAACUAUUUAUGCAGCAUCUUCCUGUCAUCAACCCAAAGCAAUUUUACUUCCGUGUUGAACAGUGGAUAAAAAUGUUCUAUAGAUUUAACCAUUGCGGGAAUUCCUUUUAAGUGGUGCAGUAAUCUCUCUCCAGCUAAUUUAGUGUUGUAAUAAGGCACCACCCUCACAAGUCCUUUGUGUUCUCGUGUCAAUACUGCCCCCAAACCAAAAGCGCUGGCAUCUGCAUCUGUCAGAAAAGUGGGUCUGAAACACAGAAAGACUGCGAAAGGAGCAAUAUGGCCAUCAGCAGGGCAAUCUCAAAGGUCUUCUGUUAAUUCUGAACAUACCUGAUUUCAUUCAGAUUUCCUCUAAAAUGAAAUUUACUUUCUCAACAAGUCCAUGCCAUGGUUUAACAGCACUGAAAAAUUCAAGGAAAAAUGUCCUCGAACAGAAGCUGACUGAGAGAUACCAGAAUGCUUCAGUACAGAUUCAGUUUUGUUCUUGCCCAUGAGGGUUCGUUGCCCACAGCUCAGGAUUCAACUCGAACCAAAUCACCUCUCUAGCUGAGACUGAAGAUCCUUAACCAAAUACCUCUAAGGAAAAGGUCUCUCCAUUUUUCUCUUUUCUUUUUUAAGUGUGCAACACAACAGUGGAAAAAAAUCCAAAAGGAAUAUUUUACAUGAAUCUCAUUUUCUUUCUUAUUACGGUUUUCUUUGCCGACAUUUACUAAAACCAUGAGACCUUACACAGUUAUGGUUCCCAUCUUCAGUACUUCCUGAACAUUAAACAAACAGUUCAGUUGCACAAGAUCAUUGGCAGCUCAGAUUCCACAUGCUCCUCCAUCUCCAAAGGUUUCAUCUGUUUCCAGCAUUUCUUUAGCUAGCAUAGCAGGUAGUGAUGCCAUUAGUUGCUGCUCUUGGGGAGAGGAUGUCCUGCACACUGCAAACUUAGUGCCCAUAAGACAUCGGUUCUAUUGAGCUAUGUAUUUCAGAUGAAUUUCCAAGGACUGAAGUUGUAGGAUACCUUUCAUGUUGUUUAUCAUUCAGCAAAUAGCAAUAAUAGCAUGCAAACUCAUUAUUAGGUCUGCUGUCUACAACUCUUGGUUAAAUCCAGAAAUUUCUCUCUUGAGUCUAACUUCAUAACAGGUUCCCCCUUUUGCUCAGAGCCCUCAUUUCCAGCCUGGAGUGGGGUGGAUGCAGCUGUGGACAUGCAGUGUACGGUGCCAAGUCACAGCAGUUCUUGAGGUCCUUUCAUCCACAUUUCACCAGCAAACCUCACAUGCUGAACUGAGAUGUGCAGUUUUGAGUGUCUCCAUCUAAAGAGCGCAAAUAUUGGUAUCAUGGAACACUUCCAUCAGGAAACAUUUAUCGAUGGACUUUUCUGAAACUGCACCACUUGCAUUUGGUCACCCGCACCUAUGUCAUGGGCAAGAGGAGGUGACUUCAUUAGCUCUGCCCUGCUCAGGGUCUCCUGUGGUCACACUGGCACUGGGACACAGAUACUCCUUGGCCCUGUCCCUUUUCCAAACAGCUCAUGCCAGCCUGGCAGGAUGCUGCGGGAGUUUCUCACUGGCCCAGUGAGAUGGAGGCAAACCAACGACUGCAUAAGGAAUGCAGGAGAACUGCAUGGGAUAAUGGGAAACAUUAUUUAUAGCCUGAACGCAGAAAACCUCCCCUUCCUCCCCCCUCACCAACAGACAAACCCAUGUCCAGUAAUGACAAAGUCGUUACCUUUUUAU
This is a long non-coding RNA of Malurus melanocephalus (red-backed fairy wren), 4235 nucleotides long. RefSeq lists it as uncharacterized. The record is from RefSeq and is a predicted model, not a curated record. Lineage: Eukaryota; Metazoa; Chordata; Aves; Passeriformes; Maluridae. The transcript has 3 exons.